GACGAAGGUGGCGAGCGUUGUUCGGAAUCACUGGGCAUAAAGCGCACGUAGGCGGCGACGUAAGUUGGGUGUGAAAUCCCCGGGCUCAACCCGGGAACUGCUUCUGAUACUGGCGGACUUGAGGCCAGUAGGGGUCACUAGAACUGACGGUGGAGCGGUGAAAUGCGUAGAUAUCGUCAGGAAUGCCGGUGGUGAAGACGGGUGACUGGGCUGGUUCUGACACUGAGGCACGAAAGCGUGGGGAGCGAACGGG
This 253-nucleotide ribosomal RNA is filed under the name uncultured bacterium. RNAcentral describes it as "partial 16S ribosomal RNA". It matches the Rfam family "Bacterial small subunit ribosomal RNA", at positions 524 to 776 of the family's 1533-position model. The record is from RNAcentral.